Molecule: ribosomal RNA, 869 nt
Filed under: uncultured Rhodoplanes sp.
Lineage: Bacteria; Pseudomonadati; Pseudomonadota; Alphaproteobacteria; Hyphomicrobiales; Nitrobacteraceae
Description: bacterial SSU rRNA
Rfam family: Bacterial small subunit ribosomal RNA
Source: RNAcentral
CAAGUCGAGCGCCCCGCAAGGGGAGCGGCAGACGGGAGAGUAACACGUGGGAACGUACCCUUCGGUUCGGAACAACCCAGGGAAACUUGGGCUAAUACCGGAUACGUCCGAAAGGAGAAAGAUUCAUCGCCGAGGGAUCGGCCCGCGUCUGAUUAGCUUGUUGGUGAGGUAACGGCUCACCAAGGCGACGAUCAGUAGCUGGUCUGAGAGGAUGAUCAGCCUCACUGAGACUGAGACACGGCCCAGACUCCUACGGGAGGCAGCAGUGGGGAAUAUUGGACAAUGGGCGCAAGCCUGAUCCAGCCAUGCCGCGUGGGUGAUGAAGGCCCUAGGGUUGUAAAGCCCUUUCGGCGGGGAAGAUAAUGACGGUACCCGCAGAAGAAGCCCCGGCUAACUUCGUGCCAGCAGCCGCGGUAAUACGAAGGGGGCUAGCGUUGCUCGGAAUCACUGGGCGUAAAGCGCACGUAGGCGGCUUUUUAAGUCAGGGGUGAAAUCCUGGAGCUCAACUCCAGAACUGCCUUUGAUACUGGGAAGCUUGAGUCCGGGAGAGGUGAGUGGAACUGCGAGUGUAGAGGUGAAAUUCGUAGAUAUUCGCAAGAACACCAGUGGCGAAGGCGGCUCACUGGCCCGGUACUGACGCUGAGGUGCGAAAGCGUGGGGAGCAAACAGGAUUAGAUACCCUGGUAGUCCACGCCGUAAACGAUGGAUGCUAGCCGUUGGCGGGUUUACCCGUCAGUGGCGCAGCUAACGCAUUAAGCAUCCCGCCUGGGGAGUACGGUCGCAAGAUUAAAACUCAAAGGGAUUGACGGGGGCCCGCACAAGCGGUGGAGCAUGUGGUUCAAUUCGAAGCAACGCGCAGAACCUUACCA